Molecule: non-coding RNA, 30 nt
Filed under: Homo sapiens (human)
Lineage: Eukaryota; Metazoa; Chordata; Mammalia; Primates; Hominidae
Source: RNAcentral
AAAGCACAGAGCCAGAAGAGGACCUAGAGA